RNAcentral lists this long non-coding RNA (1536 nucleotides) under Cyanistes caeruleus (blue tit). RNAcentral describes it as "lncRNA (ENSCCEG00000010253.1)". The record is from RNAcentral. Lineage: Eukaryota; Metazoa; Chordata; Aves; Passeriformes; Paridae.
ACUUCUAAGCAGUGACAUAGUUGAUUUGUCUUUCACAAAGAGCCCACCUUCCUCUGUAUUCGGAUUUCUGGUAUGUGUGUGUGGAGAUGAUUUGUAUAUAAUUGUUUGCUUUUUUCAGAGUCUUUUGAAGUUUAAAUCUUCAAGCCCGCUCCCUAUAUUAAAAAUAAAUUCUUCCAAGCCACCAAUAAAAUGUCAGCUGUGAUUAAAGCCCAACUCUUCAUUUUAAGACUUGUCCCUUAAGCACUGUGAGGUCACUCAAUGAGUGAGCAUUUGAAAAGACCAGGACCAUUAUUGUUUGGGUAAAGCCCAAAGUUCAUCAUUGCUUGCUUUAAAUAGUUUCAUCACGUUUUAAAUUGCUUUGCAUUGUGCUGAAAGAAAUGUAAACUGCAGAAAUGAUUUGGCAGAUAACUUGUGAUAUUUCAGGCACCUAAAAUCUUGAAAAAAACCCUCUGUAUUAAUGUUGAAGUUGGUAUUUCUGGUAAGGAAAAGCUUUAUCUCCUGUCUAGUAAAGAGGAGGGUGAAGUGGGAAGCUGUGUUUGAGGCAUAAACUUUCAACUGUGUUCUCUUAAAAUAAAGCUUGGGAACUGUAAAAUCUCCAGACAAGGGCUCUUGUGCAGUGCCAAAGUCUGAUAGGGCUUUUCUAGACACAUGAACUUUAUUAAUUUUAUUAAAAUAGUGAAAAAAUAGAAGAGAGCAUUAAGCUGCAAGGGAAAGCCUUGAGAAGCAAGUCCAUACUAUUUUGAAGACUAUCUGUGGAGCCCAUUUAUAUUUUUUUGUGCACAUUAAUUGUAAUAGUCUUUAAUUACAUGAACACAUUUUAUUUUGUCACUUUUCCUCCCUGUUUGCUGCAGUGCAUGCUGUUAGGACUAUUUGGAGCAAUUAAUCACACCAGAGCAGCAAAUAACUUGGAGCACGACUCUGCCUUGGUCUCCAGCCUGUGUCAGUCUGCUGUCUGGAGAAUUGGGCCUUGGUGUGGAGGAGGAAUCCAGGAACAGCAGUUGAAUGUCUUGCCCACCUUUGGAGGCUAGUAAGAGCAGAGGUGGGAGUUCAGGUCAUUUAGCUGCCACCAACCCCCCUGGAACAUGCUCAAGUGGGGAUAAUCAGAGAUUGUCAUGAAAUCUGUUGCAAAUUCUGUCAAGUUUCAAGAAUUCUCCUUACACUCUCGGGCUUCCCCAUCAACCUUUGAUUUUUUUUUUUUUUGUUAAGCAUCAGUUAAAUCUGGUGCUUCUCUCGGAGGUGGACAGGUGCAUUUGUUGAGCCCACCUUUCCCGGGCCGGGUGGGGUGCUGAGCACGCCCGGUGGCGGCUGGAGCCCUGGAGCCGGGUGAGCUCCGGCUGCUGCGGGAGCGCUGCAGCUCGGCCCGGCAGCGAUUCGGGGCGCUGCUGCUGCUGCUCCGCGCUUUCCGUGGCCGCUGCUGGGAGCCCGGCGGCUCACGGUGUGCACAUCCCUGCCCAGAUCCCCUCCGCGUGGCCUUGGCUGGGGCUGUUCCAACCCUCUCCGCCGGCCCCGGGGCGCUGUUCACCCGCUUCAUGACGG